Molecule: ribosomal RNA, 499 nt
Filed under: Tylenchidae sp. NK-2011a
Lineage: Eukaryota; Metazoa; Nematoda; Chromadorea; Rhabditida; Tylenchidae
Description: SSU rRNA
Rfam family: Eukaryotic small subunit ribosomal RNA
Source: RNAcentral
UUCUGACCGUAAACGAUGCCAACUAGCGAUCCGCCGGCGGAUUUUUCGCCCUGGUGGGGAGCUUCCCGGAAACGAAAGUCUUCCGGUUCCGGGGGAAGUAUGGUUGCAAAGCUGAAACUUAAAGGAAUUGACGGAAGGGCACCACCAGGAGUGGAGCCUGCGGCUUAAUUUGACUCAACACGGGGAAACUCACCCGGCCCGGACACCGCGAGGAUUGACAGAUUGAAAGCUCUUUCAUGAUUCGGUGGAUGGUGGUGCAUGGCCGUUCUUAGUUCGUGGAGUGAUUUGUCUGGUUUAUUCCGAUAACGAGCGAGACUCUAGCCUGCUAACUAGUCAGGGCAUUGUCUUUGUGCCCGCUGACUUCUUAGAGGGAUUUUCGGCGCUCAGCCGCACGAAAUUGAGCAAUAACAGGUCUGUGAUGCCCUUAGAUGUCCGGGGCUGCACGCGCGCUACACUGGCGAAGGCAACAUGCCUGUCAUGCCGCGAAGGCGGUGGGUAA